Molecule: ribosomal RNA, 459 nt
Filed under: uncultured bacterium
Lineage: Bacteria
Description: partial 16S ribosomal RNA
Rfam family: Bacterial small subunit ribosomal RNA
Source: RNAcentral
GAUGAAUGCUGGCGGCGCGCCUAACACAUGCGAGUCGAACGGCACCCCUCCUCGGAGGGAAGCGAGUGGCGAACGGCUGAGUAACACGUGGAGAACCUGCCCCCUCCCCCGGGAUAGCCGCCCGAAAGGACGGGUAAUACCGGAUACCCCGGGGUGCCGCAUGGCACCCCGGCUAAAGCCCCGACGGGAGGGGAUGGCUCCGCGGCCCAUCAGGUAGACGGCGGGGUGACGGCCCACCGUGCCGACAACGGGUAGCCGGGUUGAGAGACCGACCGGCCAGAUUGGGACUGAGACACGGCCCAGACUCCUACGGGAGGCAGCAGUGGGGAAUCUUGCGCAAUGGGGGGAACCCUGACGCAGCGACGCCGCGUGCGGGACGGAGGCCUUCGGGUCGUAAACCGCUUUCAGCAGGGAAGAGUCAAGACUGUACCUGCAGAAGAAGCCCCGGCUAACUACGUG